UGGGGCUGUAGCUCAGUUGGGAGAGCGCCUGCUUUGCAAGCAGGAUGUCGUCGGUUCGAGUCCGUCCAGCUCCAU
Molecule: transfer RNA, 75 nt
Filed under: Mucisphaera calidilacus
Lineage: Bacteria; Pseudomonadati; Planctomycetota; Phycisphaerae; Phycisphaerales; Phycisphaeraceae
Description: Planctomycetes bacterium Pan265 tRNA-Ala
Rfam family: tRNA
About the family: Transfer RNA (tRNA) molecules are approximately 80 nucleotides in length.
Source: RNAcentral